This 484-nucleotide ribosomal RNA is filed under the name uncultured bacterium. RNAcentral describes it as "partial 16S ribosomal RNA". It matches the Rfam family "Bacterial small subunit ribosomal RNA", at positions 30 to 507 of the family's 1533-position model. The record is from RNAcentral.
AUUGAACGCUGGCGGUAGGCCUAACACAUGCAAGUCGAGCGGAUGAAGGGAGCUUGCUCCUGGAUUCAGCGGCGGACGGGUGAGUAAUGCCUAGGAAUCUGCCUGGUAGUGGGGGAUAACGUCCGGAAACGGGCGCUAAUACCGCAUACGUCCUGAGGGAGAAAGUGGGGGAUCUUCGGACCUCACGCUAUCAGAUGAGCCUAGGUCGGAUUAGCUAGUUGGUGGGGUAAAGGCCUACCAAGGCGACGAUCCGUAACUGGCCUGAGAGGAUGAUCAGUCACACUGGAACUGAGACACGGUCCAGACUCCUACGGGAGGCAGCAGUGGGGAAUAUUGGACAAUGGGCGAAAGCCUGAUCCAGCCAUGCCGCGUGUGUGAAGAAGGUCUUCGGAUUGUAAAGCACUUUAAGUUGGGAGGAAGGGCAGUAAGUUAAUACCUUGCUGUUUUGACGUUACCAACAGAAUAAGCACCGGCUAACUUCGUG